Molecule: long non-coding RNA, 2680 nt
Organism: Carya illinoinensis
Lineage: Eukaryota; Viridiplantae; Streptophyta; Magnoliopsida; Fagales; Juglandaceae
Exons: 6
Source: RefSeq, a predicted model, not a curated record
GAUAUAUCUAUAUAUGAUCUGUCUUCCAGAUAAAGAACUAGGUAUCAGGAAAAUGAUAAACCUAUCAGAUACUUCUCUCUGUACACACUCUGCUUUCUAUCUCUCCCUCUUCAAUCUUUGCUCAAAACUUGGCUACGCUUUUGUGAUUCGUUAACCUGGAAGAUUUGAGCUGGAAAAGAAUGAGAAUGGAUAAAGCAUAUCAAACCCAGAAGUAUAACAAUAGCGGGAGUGGUGGUGGUGGUGGUGGUGGUAUCAGCGACAUUGUUAGAUCUUAAAAGAAUCCAAAGCAAAAGAAAGCCCCACAGAGAGGACUUAGGGCUUGAAAAGAUCAGGCUAGAAGAACAGCAAAAGAAAGAUGUAGCUGCAAUUUUGUCACCACCAGUGUAAUAACCCAGCCCCAACCCAAACCUAUAUUAUUUUUAAGCCCUGGCCUAAUCUGCCCUAAUCCCUACAUUUUUUUCUCCCUUUUCUCUUCCCUCGCUUCUUCCCUCUGUAGCCCCCCUCCUUGCCCCAGACACAAUCUCUUCUACACAAACCUCCCUCAAUAUUCCACUCUCUCUGUUGCUCCCUCUCCCUCUCCCUUUAGGUGUUUCCAACCAUUGCGGCCAGUAUGUGAUGCCACUGCCUCCCUCUCCUGGUUGCUGACGUUGCGGUAACCCUUUGUAUGUCACUCUUGUGUUCUGUGUGUGUGUGUGUGUGUGUGUGUGUGUGUGUGUGUAAGUCUUUGUUAAUCUUUCUCUCAUGCUUUCAGUUUCAUUUUUUGCAUCACCACCUCGCAGUGGCCACCUCUAGAAGGCUUAUAUCCUGCCUAGUCCUGUCGUACCGAGCCCCUGUCCAUGUCUCUGUUUCGUUCCUUUUCCCCUCAUUGACACCGACUCUCUCUCUCUCUCUCUCUCUCUCUCUCUCUCUCUCUCUCUCACAAUUUUGGGUCGCCAUUGACAGAGGGCACCAGAGUCAAUGUGUGCCUCUUGCCGUCAAGGUAUUUUCUUUCUUCAAAUUCGUCUGAUCAAUUUUGUCUGUAGUGUAUUAUUCCACUAUUUUGAAAUCGGUUUUGACAUUUCCCUUGUGUCAAAGGGCAUCACAAACACCCCAGGCAGUGCCCUUGUUCUCAAGUUUGACAGAUCAUUGCGACGUGAUUUGGCUAAGAUGACUAUGAGAUUUCAACUAGGGAACAGGAAUAAGAAGCGUGGGCGAGAUUAGUUGAGUGUAGAGAAAUAAGUGCCAAAAGGUGAAUGCGUCAUCAGGGUACUUCCGUCAUGUGUACUAAAUUUUCAGAUGGAGCCCCCUUCAAACCAAAGCUGUUAUUGCAACUAUGCACCUACGUGGCCUCCUGAGGAAGAGAGGGAAAUGGAAUAUAUCCGUGAAUCUAUGGCCAGUCCAGAACAUAGCGAAGAACAUAGAUCAGGACGAGGGACAACGGGUAAAGUAGGAAAGCUACAAGAGCUGUCCAUUUAGGGAAAUCUUGUUUGCUGAAGCUGGCGAAGCAACCCACCACAACGCAGACAAUAAUAAUAACCAGCACUUCAGAUGAGAAAUCCCAUGCCAGUCCCCUAAUGUUAACAAGGGCUAAGAACACUGAGAGGCAGAGGACAUUAUUCAUUAUUACUGACCCGUAUAGCUGCAUGCACCAACAAAUAUAUGCAUUAUAAUCACUUCAAAUCAAAUCAAUUAUGAAUAACAUUGACAUCCACAUUUUGGCUGAUUGUUUUCAUUUUGCUAAGACACCAAAAACACUAUUUGGUAUAUAUAUCUUGAAAAGUGAUCUAUAAUUUAUUCGGCAUUCCACCCUAUAGAACAAGCAUUAAACAUUGAUAUGAAGAGUGAGGGAUGAGAAACGAACCACGGUAAAUGUUAAGUUGGCAGUUUCACCUUUGUGACGGCUAGCAGUUAUAACUGCUGACACGACUUCGCUUAAGUUGGUAGCCAAAGGCAGCGCGAUGAAGGAGACGAAGAAAGAAGGAAUACUGGUGGCAUCAGCAAAGUUAUCAACAGCUUCUACCAAGGGGUCAGCAAAUGCGACAGCAAUGAGAGUUCCCAGCAACAACAAUAGCACUGCUUUGAUAGAGGUUCACCAAGAUCAUUGAGCAGCCUUUCCGACUGCCACUUGUGCAUCACAGAAGAAAUUUUGCUCUUGUGGAUCCAAGGUUCAAAAACCUGCAGAACGUUUUCAAUGUUAUCCAUCCAACAACCAAAGCUCUCAAUUCACUAUAUACAAAAGGAGUGAGUUUGGGAUUAUGGUAAUGGAGUGUUCCUCGCCUUCAAAUUCCCUUGGCAACGGUGAACAGGGAAAAAAACAGAAAACCUUGGCCCCAAUGUGCACUGUCCCAAGUCUCUAAAGAGGAGCUAAGGAAUCAAAGCUGCUGAUUUUAAUUAAUACAUGGUUGAAGUCCGGUUUGGGAAUGGCAAGAGUUUUAGAAAAGAAUUUGGAGCUUGCCAUGAACGCUAAACUAUUGAGCUACUUUUUGGGUUUGACAAAAACUUGAAACAUUGUUAAACUAAACUUGUAAACUGCAUGCGCCUAACUUGUCAAAUGCUUCUUGCAGCUUUAAUGACUUAGUUUUAGAUGCCAAGGUUUUGCACUUGCCACACCCGCUUAAGAAUAAGAGAGGAAUUCGAUGUAAAUACCAUAUAUUUGGUUUGACCCUAUUCCACAUAAAAUCUGAUUAAGAUUUUGACCUCA